GAUGAAGAACGUAGCAAAAUGCGAUACUUGGUGUGAAUUGCAGAAUCCCGUGAACCAUCGAGUUUUUGAACGCAAGUUGCGCCCGAAGCCUUUUGGCCGAGGGCACGUCUGCCUGGGCGUCACGCAUCGCGUCGCCCCCCACAAUUCUCCGUAAAGGGAACGUGUGUUUUGGGGGCGGAUAUUGGUCUCCCGUGCUCAUGGCGUGGUUGGCCAAAAUAGGAGUCCUUUCGAUGGACGCACGAACUAGUGGUGGUCGUAAAAACCCUCGUCUUUUGUUUCGUGCUGUUGCUCGCAAUGUAAACUCUUUAAAAACCCCAAUGUGUCGUCUCUUGACGACGCUUCGACCGCGACCCCAGGUCAGGCGGGACUACCCGCUGAGUUUAAGCAUAUCAAUAAGCGGAGGA
This 404-nucleotide unclassified non-coding RNA is filed under the name soil metagenome. RNAcentral describes it as "partial contains 5.8S ribosomal RNA, internal transcribed spacer 2, and large subunit ribosomal RNA". The stretch from base 1 to 122 matches the Rfam family "5.8S ribosomal RNA", at positions 35 to 154 of the family's 154-position model. The record is from RNAcentral.